RNAcentral lists this ribosomal RNA (253 nucleotides) under uncultured bacterium. RNAcentral's name for it is "partial 16S ribosomal RNA". It matches the Rfam family "Bacterial small subunit ribosomal RNA", at positions 524 to 776 of the family's 1533-position model. The record is from RNAcentral.
UACGUAGGGGGCAAGCGUUGUCCGGAAUCAUUGGGCGUAAAGCGCGUGUAGGCGGCUUGGUAAGUCUGCUCUGAAAGCCCGGGGCUCAACCCCGGGAGGCGGGUGGAUACUGUCAAGCUCGAGUCCGGAAGAGGAGUGUGGAAUUCCUGGUGUAGCGGUGAAAUGCGCAGAUAUCAGGAGGAACACCGGUGGCGAAGGCGGUUCUCUGGACAGUUCCUGACGCUGAGGCACGAAGGUCAGGGGAGCAAACGGG